AUCGCUGCUAAUCUAUCGCUGCCAACCUAUCUACCGCGGCGAAUCUAUCUAUCGCUGCCAAUUUAUCUACCACUGCCAAUCUAUCUAUCGCUGCCAAUCUAUCGCUGCUAAUCUAUCGCUGCUAAUCUAUUGCUGCUGCCAAUCUAUCUAUCACUGCUAAUCUAUUGCUGCUAAUCUAUCACUGCUAAUCUAUCGCUGCUAAUCUAUCGCUGCCAACCUAUCUACCGCGGCGAAUCUAUCUAUUGCUGCCAAUCAACCUACCUACCACUGCCAAUCUAUCUAUCGCUGCCAAUCUAUCGCUGCCAACCUAUCUACUGCAGUGAAUCUAUCUAUCACUAUCAUUACUAGUUCAAAAUAGAACUAGAGCAUAAAUACACUAAACUUCUUUUGAUAGGUAAUGAUUUUUGGUAACACUCAUAGCAUUAUAUCAUCUAUAUAGGAUAAAUCAUGAUCCCAUUUGAUCCCAUUUUAACAAAAUGGGACCAAAUGAGACCAGAAUCAGUAAUUUAUAAGAAGAACAUGACCUGAGACUAGAUUUAUAAUAUAAACAGUGUAAAGUGACUAAUUUAAGAAACACUAU
This 580-nucleotide small RNA is filed under the name Histoplasma ohiense. RNAcentral's name for it is "hypothetical lncRNA". Lineage: Eukaryota; Fungi; Ascomycota; Eurotiomycetes; Onygenales; Ajellomycetaceae. The record is from RNAcentral.